AGAGUUUGAUCAUGGCUCAGGAUGAACGCUGGCGGCGUGCUUAACACAUGCAAGUCGAACGUGAUCCAGUAGCAAUACUGGUGAAAGUGGCAAACGGGUGAGUAACACGUAGAUGACCUGCCUUGGAGUGGGGGAUAACCACCGGAAACGGUGGCUAAUACCGCAUAUGCUUGUGGCGCUGGGAAGCGCAGCAAGGAAAGCUUUAGGUGCUUCAAGAGGGGUCUGCGUCCGAUUAGCUAGUUGGUGAGGUAAUGGCUCACCAAGCCGACGACGGGUAGCUGGUCUGAGAGGAUGGUCAGCCACAUUGGAACUGAGACACUGUCCAGACUCCUACGGGAGGCUGCAGUCGAGAAUCUUGGGCAAUGCACGAAAGUGUGACCCAGCGACGCCGCGUGAAGGAUGAAGGCCCUCUGGGUCGUAAACUUCUUUUAUGGGGAAAGAAAAGCUCGCAAGAGCCUUGACGGUACCCCAUGAAUAAGCCACGGCUAACUACGUGCCAGCAGCCGCGGUAAUACGUAGGUGGCAAGCGUUGUCCGGAUUUACUGGGCGUAAAGCGUAUGCAGGCGGACUGUUAAGUCCAAGGUGAAAGGUAGGAGCUCAACUCCUACACUGCCUCGGAUACUGGCAGUCUUGAGUGGCGGAGAGGAAGAUGGAACAAGUUGUGUAGCGGUGAAAUGCGUUGAUAUAACUUGGAACACCAAUGGCGAAAGCAAUCUUCUGGACGCAAACGGACGCUGAGAUACGAAAGCUAAGGUAGCAAACAGGAUUAGAUACCCCUGUAGUCC
RNAcentral lists this ribosomal RNA (785 nucleotides) under uncultured soil bacterium. RNAcentral's name for it is "bacterial SSU rRNA". It matches the Rfam family "Bacterial small subunit ribosomal RNA", at positions 8 to 796 of the family's 1533-position model. The record is from RNAcentral.